RNAcentral lists this ribosomal RNA (301 nucleotides) under uncultured bacterium. RNAcentral's name for it is "partial 16S ribosomal RNA". It matches the Rfam family "Bacterial small subunit ribosomal RNA", at positions 509 to 807 of the family's 1533-position model. The record is from RNAcentral.
CAGUAGCCGCGGGAAAACAGAGGAUGCAAGCGUUAUCCGGAAUGAUUGGGCGUAAAGCGUCUGUAGGUGGCUUUUCAAGUCCGCCGUCAAAUCCCAGGGCUCAACCCUGGACAGGCGGUGGAAACUACCAAGCUGGAGUACGGCAGGGGCAGAGGGAAUUUCCGGUGGAGCGGUGAGAUGCGUUGAGAUCGGAAAGAACACCAACGGCGAAAGCACUCUGCUGGGCCGACACUGACACUGAGAGACGAAAGCUAGGGGAGCAAAUGGGAUUAGAGACCCCAGUAGUCCCUGUCUCUUAUAC